UUAUGUUAUAACCUUAUAGCAUCUUCCUGCUCACCGUUUCAACCUCUCUCUAUCUGCUCUCAAGCUCUCUCUCUCUCUGCUCUUAAACUCUCCCUCUCAGUGCUGUCUCACUCUCACUCUCACUCUCACUCUCGUCUCAGUACUCUCACUAUCACUCUCCCUCUCAGGUCUAUCAGUUCUCUCACUCUCACUAUCCCUCUCAUCGACCCCCGCUCUCAAACAUAGCAACACUCUCACUCUGCAAUUAUGGCUCCCCGAUAGAUCAUGAGCCACCGGUCUGCUUCAUAUUCGGCUCAGACUGAGCAGUUGGCCCGCAGUGGUAUUGUGGUGGCCAGCGGUACCCAUACACCGAUUGCGAAGUCGGCAGCAAGCACCAAUUCGACCACACUAUUGCCACCCAUUCGUUCUGUCAGGCGACUCCACAGCACCCGUCGCCACCAGCCGCUCCCAGCACCCCUCGCUAUCACUUCAUCCUCUCUGGUAGCGUAGAGGUUAAAUCGGCCCCGAUGGAUGGAGACGAGACUAGAGGACAACUCCCUACCGGCCUAAGGAAUAAGAAGACUCCGCGUAUUUUCUGGGCUUGAAGAUAAACCAGAUCACUUGAACCACCUAGACCCUGAUCCAGAUUGUAUACCACCCCAACCAGCGCCGAACCUGUGCCAAUGUCAACAGUUUGUUGACUCACAACUGCUGAGCCAUCAUCCGUAGCAAACGCCCCAUGGACGUUGAUUCAUUGAUUUCACAUAGGUAGGAGGUUCGUCGAGAGAUGUACCGCUAGCUUUUGGUAAAUACUAGCCUCUCCGCACUGCACUAACGUGCGCGCCAUGCGUGCCAGAGGCAUUUUUGCAUCACGUAUUUGCAUCACGUACGUGCCCUAAAAGUGUAUUCUAAAAGUGUAUUGUGCUAGUUUUUUUUUUCAUUGUAGUUGUCAAAAUAUAUUUUAAAUGUAUUGUGCAAAGAGGAAUUUUUUCUUUACCAUGCACGUCCUAAAAAGUUGUCAUGUUUUUCGUUUUUAUUUUACGUAAAGUAAUGAUUUAAAUGUUA
This is a long non-coding RNA of Malus domestica (apple), 1044 nucleotides long. RefSeq lists it as uncharacterized. The record is from RefSeq and is a predicted model, not a curated record. Lineage: Eukaryota; Viridiplantae; Streptophyta; Magnoliopsida; Rosales; Rosaceae.